AGUCGUAACAAGGUCUCCGUAGGUGAACCUGCGGAGGGAUCAUUACACAAAUAUGAAGGCGGGCUGGAACCUCUCGGGGUUACAGCCUUGCUGAAUUAUUCACCCUUGUCUUUUGCGUACUUCUUGUUUCCUUGGUGGGUUCGCCCACCACUAGGACAAACAUAAACCUUUUGUAAUUGCAAUCAGCGUCAGUAACAAAUUAAUAAUUACAACUUUCAACAACGGAUCUCUUGGUUCUGGCAUCGAUGAAGAACGCAGCGAAAUGCGAUAAGUAGUGUGAAUUGCAGAAUUCAGUGAAUCAUCGAAUCUUUGAACGCACAUUGCGCCCUUUGGUAUUCCAAAGGGCAUGCCUGUUCGAGCGUCAUUUGUACCCUCAAGCUUUGCUUGGUGUUGGGCGUCUUGUCUCUAGCUUUGCUGGAGACUCGCCUUAAAGUAAUUGGCAGCCGGCCUACUGGUUUCGGAGCGCAGCACAAGUCGCACUCUCUAUCAGCAAAGGUCUAGCAUCCAUUAAGCCUUUUUUUCAACUUUUGACCUCGGAUCAGGUAGGGAUACCCGCUGAACUUAAGCAUAUCAAUAAGUCG
RNAcentral lists this ribosomal RNA (581 nucleotides) under uncultured fungus. Its description in RNAcentral is "eukaryotic LSU rRNA". The stretch from base 211 to 364 matches the Rfam family "5.8S ribosomal RNA". The record is from RNAcentral. Lineage: Eukaryota; Fungi.